This 492-nucleotide ribosomal RNA is filed under the name uncultured bacterium. RNAcentral describes it as "bacterial SSU rRNA". It matches the Rfam family "Bacterial small subunit ribosomal RNA", at positions 29 to 499 of the family's 1533-position model. The record is from RNAcentral.
AGCGAACGCUGGCGGCGUGGAUAAGGCAUGCAAGUCGAGCGAUUCCCGCAAGGGGAUAGCGGCAAACGGGUGCGUAACGCGUAGGUAACCUACCCUAAAGUGUGGGAUAACCCAACGAAAGAUGGGCUAAUACCACAUGUGCUCGGAGAUUCACAUGGAUUUCCGAGGAAAGAUGGCCUAGACCGCAAGGUUGCUAUCGUUUUAGGAGGGACCUGCGUCCCAUCAGCUAGUUGGUAGGGUAACGGCCUACCAAGGCAUUUGACGGGUAGCUAACCUUAGAGGGUGGUUAGCCACACUGGGACUGAGACACUGCCCAGACUCCUACGGGAGGCUGCAGUCGAGAAUAUUUGGCAAUGGGCGAAAGCCUGACCAUGCGACGCCGCGUGCGGGAUGAAGGCCCUCGGGUCGUAAACCGCUGUUACGAGGAACGAAGGCAUUACGUUGUGAACAAUGGCGUAGGAUAGACGGUACCUCGAAAGAAAGCCACGCAUC